GGUUCAGGAUGAACGCUGGCGGCGUGCCUAACACAUGCAAGUCGAACGGACCUUUACAGACUGCGAUCGUCAAGGAAGUCAAGGUUAGUGGCGGACGGGUGAGUAACGCGUGGGUAACCUGCCUCGUAGAGGGGGAUAACAGUUGGAAACGAUUGCUAAUACCGCAUAAGCCCACAGGACCGCAUGGUCCAGGGGGAAAAGAUUCAUCGCUACGAGAUGGACCCGCGUUUGAUUAGUUAGUUGGCGGUGUAACGGACCACCAAGACGACGAUCAAUAGCCGGACUGAGAGGUUGAACGGCCACAUUGGGACUGAGACACGGCCCAAACUCCUACGGGAGGCAGCAGUGGGGAAUAUUGCACAAUGGGGGAAACCCUGAUGCAGCGACGCCGCGUGGGUGAAGAAGUUUUUCGGAAUGUAAAGCCCUAUCAGCAGGGAAGAAAAUGACGGUACCUGACUAAGAAGCCCCGGCUAACUACGUGCCAGCCGCGGC
RNAcentral lists this ribosomal RNA (492 nucleotides) under uncultured bacterium. RNAcentral's name for it is "bacterial SSU rRNA". It matches the Rfam family "Bacterial small subunit ribosomal RNA", at positions 21 to 518 of the family's 1533-position model. The record is from RNAcentral.